ACAUUCUGCUUCCGUAAAAUCCCAACUUACCAUAUUUGUGCUAAGACGGGCUGAGGUAACCCAGAUUGGAAAAAGAAGUUCCUUGCUUGAUCACCUGUAAACAUGUCCACAGCGUAACUGUCCAUGAAAAGGGACAGGAGAUCUCAGCGGUGGAUUCAGAAAACUGAGGAUUCAGAAACUGAGGUUCACCAGCACAGGCAACCCUCUUAACAACCUGGAAUGCAUAUCUUCUACCCUGCCUUUCCCAAGAAAUGCAAGACUGUUCUCGUGUGAAUGUAGCACAUAGUAUAUGCUUUGAGAAAUUUCUAAAACCAUAAACAUGCAAGCUUCAAA
This is a non-coding RNA of Rattus norvegicus (Norway rat), 333 nucleotides long. The record is from RefSeq and is a predicted model, not a curated record. NCBI's taxonomy places the organism in Eukaryota, Metazoa, Chordata, Mammalia, Rodentia, Muridae.